Podarcis lilfordi (Lilford's wall lizard) is the source of this 75-nucleotide non-coding RNA. Lineage: Eukaryota; Metazoa; Chordata; Lepidosauria; Squamata; Lacertidae. The record is from the annotation of a GenBank genome assembly.
GCCUGCACAGCUCAGUUGGGGAGAGUGCGGUGUUAAAAAUGCCAAGGAUGCAGGUUUGAUCCCUGUAUUGGGACA